GCUAGGCAUAGUGGCUUACACCUGUAAUCCCAGCAAUUUGGGAGGCUGAGGCAGGAGGAUCACUUGAGCCCAGGAGUUUGAAGCUGCAGUGAGCUAUGAUUGUGCCACUGCGCUCUAGCCUGGGUGACAGAGUGAGACCCUGUCUCUA
RNAcentral lists this non-coding RNA (148 nucleotides) under Chlorocebus sabaeus (green monkey). The record is from Rfam by way of RNAcentral. Lineage: Eukaryota; Metazoa; Chordata; Mammalia; Primates; Cercopithecidae.